RNAcentral lists this ribosomal RNA (468 nucleotides) under uncultured bacterium. RNAcentral describes it as "partial 16S ribosomal RNA". It matches the Rfam family "Bacterial small subunit ribosomal RNA", at positions 28 to 507 of the family's 1533-position model. The record is from RNAcentral.
GACGAACGCUGGCGGCGUGCUUAACACAUGCAAGUCGAACGGAAAGGCCCUGCUUUUGUGGGGUGCUCGAGUGGCGAACGGGUGAGUAACACGUGAGUAACCUGCCCUUGACUUUGGGAUAACUUCAGGAAACUGGGGCUAAUACCGGAUAGGAGCUCCUGCUGCAUGGUGGGGGUUGGAAAGUUUCGGCGGUUGGGGAUGGACUCGCGGCCUAUCAGCUUGUUGGUGGGGUAGUGGCUUACCAAGGCUUUGACGGGUAGCCGGCCUGAGAGGGUGACCGGCCACAUUGGGACUGAGAUACGGCCCAGACUCCUACGGGAGGCAGGAGUGGGGAAUAUUGCACAAUGGGCGGAAGCCUGAUGCAGCAACGCCGCGUGCGGGAUGACGGCCUUCGGGUUGUAAACCGCUUUCGCCUGUGACGAAGCGUGAGUGACGGUAAUGGGUAAAGAAGCACCGGCUAACUACGUG